Molecule: ribosomal RNA, 253 nt
Filed under: uncultured bacterium
Lineage: Bacteria
Description: partial 16S ribosomal RNA
Rfam family: Bacterial small subunit ribosomal RNA
Source: RNAcentral
UACGGAGGGGGCUAGCGUUAUUCGGAAUUAUUGGGCGUAAAGGGCGCGUAGGCGGCCCGCUAAGUCGAACGUGAAAUCCCUGGGCUCAACCCAGGAACUGCGUCCGAUACUGGCAGGCUUGAAUCCGGGAGAGGGAUGUGGAAUUCCAGGUGUAGCGGUGAAAUGCGUAGAUAUCUGGAGGAACACCGGUGGCGAAGGCGGCAUCCUGGACCAACACUGACGCUGAGGAGCGAAAGCCAGGGGAGCAAACGGG